Molecule: ribosomal RNA, 460 nt
Filed under: uncultured bacterium
Lineage: Bacteria
Description: partial 16S ribosomal RNA
Rfam family: Bacterial small subunit ribosomal RNA
Source: RNAcentral
CCUACGGGAGGCAGCAGUGAGGAAUAUUGGUCAAUGGACGAGAGUCUGAACCAGCCAAGUCGCGUGAAGGAUGACUGCCCUAUGGGUUGUAAACUUCUUUUAUAAAGGAAUAAAACGAGGCACGUGUGCCUUUUUGCAUGUACUUUAUGAAUAAGGAUCGGCUAACUCCGUGCCAGCAGCCGCGGUAAUACGGAGGAUCCGAGCGUUAUCCGGAUGUAUUGGGUUUAAAGGGAGCGUAGAUGGGUUUUUAAGUCAGUUGUGAAAGUUUGCGGCUCAACCGUAAAAUUGCAAUUGAUACUGGCAGUCUUGAGUACAGUUGAGGUAGGCGGAAUUCGUGGUGUAGCGGUGAAAUGCUUAGAUAUCACGAAGAACCCCGAUUGCGAAGGCAGCUUACUAAACUGUGACUGACAUUGAUGCUCGAAAGUGUGGGUAUCAAACAGGAUUAGAUACCCGAGUAGUC